GAAGGUAUAGCUCAGUGGUAGAGUGCCUGCACAGGGUCCUGGGUUCAAUCCCCAGUACCUCCA
RNAcentral lists this transfer RNA (63 nucleotides) under Camelus bactrianus (Bactrian camel). It matches the Rfam family "tRNA". Rfam says of the family: Transfer RNA (tRNA) molecules are approximately 80 nucleotides in length. Their secondary structure includes four short double-helical elements and three loops (D, anti-codon, and T loops). Lineage: Eukaryota; Metazoa; Chordata; Mammalia; Artiodactyla; Camelidae. RNAcentral also lists the same sequence under 2 other names. The record is from Rfam by way of RNAcentral.